AAAGGCCCUAAUUAAUAAAAGCGGCCCAAAGAGCGGUUAAAGAACACAACCAAUAAAAUUAAAACCUUGCUCAGCUGUCAUACGCAUAAGCAAAUAUUAAUUCAUAAACUAAGGUUAUUUUAAUGCCCUUGAACCCACCACAGUCAGGAAACAAACUGGGAUUAGAUACCCCACUAUGCCUAACUAUAAACUUUGGACCCCCCCCCGCCAGAGCACUACGAGCCACA
RNAcentral lists this ribosomal RNA (227 nucleotides) under Eurycea neotenes. RNAcentral's name for it is "partial 12S ribosomal RNA". The record is from RNAcentral. Lineage: Eukaryota; Metazoa; Chordata; Amphibia; Caudata; Plethodontidae.